AUGACUGGAGCCUCAGCUCUUCACUGACUGUCCUCAGGUUCCAGGGGCCACCUGCAGUUCCUUGCCACAUGGAUUUCUCCAGCAUAGCUGUGUACUUCAUCAAGGCACAAGGAGAGUCUCCAGUAUACCAGAGCCCUAUGUAAUGUAACAUAAUCAACAAAGUUACAUCCCAUCACUGUUGUCAUAUUCAAUUGGUCAGAAGCAAGUUACAGUUCCCACCCAGGUCAGAGGGAGGAGAUAUGACAAAGAAGUAAACAUCAGGAGGCUGGGACAAUGGGGAUACUUAAGGUCCAUCCUGCUACAACUUCCACAAUGGUGUCUUGACCAUGAGGGCUCCACAGACACUGAAGCGGUCACCCAGGCUGCAAGUCUUGGUGGCAUUCUCUAGGAAUCACAGUCCCAUUCUUCUGCAAGCAAACGGAGUCACCAUAUGACCCAGCCCUGGUCUUGCUUGGCUUUCUGGAUGUUCUCAACCUUGACAUGACUCCUUAUUCUCCAAUUCAUUUGGACCUCAAGACACUACUACUCUGGCUACAGCCGCCAGGCAUUAAAAAGAUGACACAGAAAAAUUACAGAGUCAGCAUAUAUUUGAAUACUGAAUAAAAGGGAAGAGGAUGAAAUGGAUUUUUCAAAGCUUCUAAAGAAAACAGAACUAGCUGUGUAGCAGACUCCUCUUAUAAACCUCUGCGAAGUUCUACUUGAAAAGCUGUGGUUUCAUUUCAAAGGAAACCAGCAAUCAGGGGGAUCUCUACGGGAAAAUCUCUUCCCUAUGUCUUCUUUAGACUCUUCAAAAAGGAGAGAGAGCACAAAAAAAGAAAAUACACAAGUAAAUAGGUUCAAGUACAUCA
Gorilla gorilla gorilla (western lowland gorilla) is the source of this 848-nucleotide long non-coding RNA. RefSeq lists it as uncharacterized. Lineage: Eukaryota; Metazoa; Chordata; Mammalia; Primates; Hominidae. The record is from RefSeq and is a predicted model, not a curated record. The transcript has 4 exons.